AUUGUGUCAGCAGCCGCGCGGUAAUACAGGGGGUGCUAGCGUUGUUCGGAAUUACUGGGCGUAAAGGGCGCGUAGGCGGUUUCGCAAGUCAGAAGUGAAAUCCUGGAGCUUAACUCCAGAACUGCUUCUGAUACUGCGAGGCUAGAGUGCAUUAGAGGAUGGCGGAAUUCCUAGUGUAGUGGUGAAAUACGUAGAUAUUAGGAAGAACACCGGUGGCGAAGGCGGCCAUCUGGGAUGCAACUGACGCUGAGGCGCGAAAGCGUGGGGAUCAAACAGGAUUAGAUACCCUGGUAGUCCACGCUGUAAACGAUAGAUACUCGCCGUAGCUGGUAAUCAAUCCGGCUGUGGCUUAGCUAACGCGUUAAGUAUCUCGCCUGGGAAGUACGGUCGCAAGAUUAAAACUCAAAGGAAUUGACGGGGACCCGCACAAGCGGUGGAUUAUGUGGUUUAAUUCGAAGCAACGCGCAAAACCUUACCUGGCCUUGACAUGCCCUUGACCGGUGCAGAAAUGCAUCUUCUCUUCGGAGCAGGGGACACAAGUGCUGCAUGGCUGUCGUCAGCUCGCGUCGUGAGAUGUUUGGUUAAGUCCAGCAACGAGCGCAACCCUUGUCUUUAGUUGCCACCAUUAAGUUGGGCACUCUAGAGAGACUGCCGAUGUCAAAUCGGAGGAAGGUGGGGAUGACGUCAAGUCCUCAUGGCCUUUACGGCCAGGGCUACACACGUAAUACAAUGCAGGGUACAAAGAGCUGCAAACCAGCGAUGGGGAGCCAACCUCAAAAAACCCUGCUCAGUUCGGAUAGGAGUCUGCAACUCGACUCCUUGAAGCUGGAAUCGCUAGUAAUCGCGGAUCAGCAUGCCGCGGUGAUACGUUCCCGGGUCUUGCACACACGCCCGUCAAUCGUCGACUGCAGCAUGCAAGCUGCACUGGCGUCGUUUACACGUCGUGACUGGGAAACCUGCGUACCACUAUCGCUGCAGCACAUCCCCUUCGCAGCUGCGUAAUACGAGAGCCCGCCACGAUCGACUUCCACAGUGCGCAGCUGAAUGGCGAAUGGGGCUGAUGCGAAUUUUCCUACCAUCUGUGCGAUUCACCGCAUGGAGCUCAUACAAUCGCCUCUGAAGGCGCCCAGUUAAUGC
Molecule: ribosomal RNA, 1137 nt
Filed under: uncultured prokaryote
Description: bacterial SSU rRNA
Rfam family: Bacterial small subunit ribosomal RNA (bases 1-974)
Source: RNAcentral